RNAcentral lists this ribosomal RNA (454 nucleotides) under Calymmaderus sp. TX KLB-2011. Its description in RNAcentral is "partial 16S ribosomal RNA". Lineage: Eukaryota; Metazoa; Arthropoda; Insecta; Coleoptera; Ptinidae. The record is from RNAcentral.
UUAAGUCGUGCCUGCCCAUGGUUUUUAAUGGCCGCGGUAUUUUGACCGUGCAAAGGUAGNAUAAACAUUAGUUUAUUAAUUGUAAGCUGGAAUGAAUGGUUUGACGAAAAAUAAGCUGUAUCAAGUUAAUUUAAUGAAUUUUAUUUUUGGGUUAAAAAGCUUAGAUAAAUUUAAAAGACGAGAAGACCCUAUAGAUUUUUAUAGAUUUAUAUAUAAAUUUUUAUUUAUAUAUAUAUUUAUUUUGUUGGGGUGAUGUGAAAAUUUAAUUAACUUUUCGUGUUUAUUUUAUUGAUUUGUAUUUUGUUGAUCCAAUUUUUUUGAUUAUAAGAUUAAAUUACCUUAGGGAUAACACCGUUAUUAAUUUUUUGAGUUCUUAUCAAAAAUUUAGUUUGCGACCUCGAUGUUGGAUUAAAAUUAAUUUAUAGUGCAGUAGUUAUAAUAUUAGGUCUGUCGA